UCUAAGCCAUGCGAGUCAUUGUAGCAAUACAAGGCAGACGGCUCAGUAACGCGUAGUCAAUCUACCCUAUGGACGGGAAUAACCUCGGGAAACUGAGAAUAAUGCCCGAUAGAACAUUAUGCCUGGAAUGGUUUAUGUUUCAAAUGAUUUAUCGCCAUAGGAUGGGACUGCGGCCUAUCAGUUUGUUGGUGAGGUAAUGGCCCACCAAGACUAUUACAGGUACGGGCUCUGAGAGGAGUAGCCCGGAGAUGGGUACUGAGACACGGACCCAGGCCCUAUGGGGCGCAGCGGGCGAGAAAACUUUGCAAUGUGCGAAAGCACGACAAGGUUAAUCCGAGUGGUUUCUGCUAAAGAAACCUUUUGUCAGUCCUAGAAACACUGACGAAUAAGGGGUGGGCAAGUUCUGGUGUCAGCCGCCGCGGUAAAACCAGCACCUCAAGUGGUCAGGAUGAUUAUUGGGCCUAAAGCAUCCGUAGCUCGUUUUGUAAGUUUUCGGUUAAAUCCAUGCGCUUAACGUAUGGGCUGCCGGGAAUACUGCAUAACUAGGAAGUGGGAGAGGUAGACGGUACUCGGUAGGAAGGGGUAAAAUCCUUUGAUCUAUUGAUGACCACCUGUGGCGAAGGCGGUCUACCAGAACACGUUCGACGGUGAGGGAUGAAAGCUGGGGGAGCAAACCGGAUUAGAUACCCGGGUAGUCCCAGCUGUAAACUAUGCAAACUCAGUGAUGCAUUGGCUUGUGGCCAAUGCAGUGCUGCAGGGAAGCCGUUAAGUUUGCCGCCUGGGAAGUACGUACGCAAGUAUGAAACUUAAAGGAAUUGGCGGGGGAGCACCACAAGGGGUGAAGCYUGCSGUUCAAUUGGAGUCAACGCCAGAAAUCUUACCCGGAGAGACAGCAGAAUGAAGGUCAAGCUGAAGACUUUACCAGACAAGCUGAGAGGAGGUGCAUGGCCC
This 951-nucleotide ribosomal RNA is filed under the name uncultured archaeon. Its description in RNAcentral is "bacterial SSU rRNA". It matches the Rfam family "Archaeal small subunit ribosomal RNA", at positions 43 to 1000 of the family's 1478-position model. The record is from RNAcentral.